Long non-coding RNA from Xenia sp. Carnegie-2017, 615 nucleotides. RefSeq lists it as uncharacterized. NCBI's taxonomy places the organism in Eukaryota, Metazoa, Cnidaria, Anthozoa, Malacalcyonacea, Xeniidae. The record is from RefSeq and is a predicted model, not a curated record. The transcript is spliced from 2 exons.
GUUGCAUUUAUGUAGACACGUUGGGCUUACUGACAGUAAAAGAACAAGAACCCUGACAGUGGUUCAAGGGAUGAUGAUCAAGAAGAAGAUAGAGGAGUAUGUUCAGUUUUUUCAUGUCAUAAUAUUAACUUGUUUUGUAGAUGUUUCGUUUAGAUGAGGAGGAUGCAGAUGCAGAGACGUGGAGGAUGCUGAUGGAGGGACGAGGAGGAUGCUGUUGGAGCAACGAGAAGGAUGCUGUUGGUUCGACGAGGAUGCUGAUGAGCGACCAGGAGGAUGCUGAUGAUGCUGAUGAAGCGACCCGGAGGAUGCUGAUGGAGCGACCAGGAGGAUGCUGAUGGAGCGACCAGGAGGAUGCUGAUGGAGCGACCAGGAGGAUGCUGAUGGAGCGACCAGGUGGAUGCUGAUGGAGCGACCAGGAGGAUGCUGAUGGAGCGACCAGAAGGAUGCUGAUGGAGCGACCAGGAAGAUGCUGAUGGAGCGACCAGGAGGAUGCUGAUGGAGCGACCAGGAGGAUGCUGAUGGAGCGACCAGGAGGAUGCUGAUGGAGCGACCAGGAAGAUGCUGAUGGAGCGACGAGAAGCGCGCUCAUGAAGAGACGAGGAGGAUGCAGAUGAA